Molecule: long non-coding RNA, 386 nt
Organism: Brassica oleracea var. oleracea
Lineage: Eukaryota; Viridiplantae; Streptophyta; Magnoliopsida; Brassicales; Brassicaceae
Exons: 2
Source: RefSeq, a predicted model, not a curated record
UAGAACUCUCAAACAAUUUAUAAAACAUCCUACAAAAUGAGUAUCUCCAAAAAAUGUAUAUUAAUCGCAUUUGUUUUCACUUUUUUUUUCGCGAUGUCAAUUGUUAGCUGCACCGAUAUUGUUUCAGAUUUCGGAGUAAAGAAAGCAUAUAAUCUAUGCUAUGGUCCAUGUGACGACAAAGGAGUGUGUACGCCGUUUUGUUAUACCAAAAAGGGUCCGAUAAGGGGAGACUGUGUUGGUGGCACUUGUUGUUGUGCUGAACACUAAAUAAAAUAUUAAAUAAUAUCAUUAGAUAUUAUAUCUUGUAUGAAAUGAAAUAAUACUACCAAUAAUACAUAAAAUGCUUUUACAAAAAAAAUAUAUAAAAUGUUAUUAAAUUGAAGUUA